ACCGAGUCCAGAUGAUGUAGCCUAUAAAA
This 29-nucleotide non-coding RNA is filed under the name Homo sapiens (human). The record is from RNAcentral. Lineage: Eukaryota; Metazoa; Chordata; Mammalia; Primates; Hominidae.